RNAcentral lists this long non-coding RNA (443 nucleotides) under Daucus carota (carrot). Its description in RNAcentral is "long non-coding RNA (DCAR_LNC007436)". Lineage: Eukaryota; Viridiplantae; Streptophyta; Magnoliopsida; Apiales; Apiaceae. The record is from RNAcentral.
GUUCGCUCUAGCCUUUUUAUCACUUUCAAUGGGGACAUUGAAAAAAUUAAGUUUGGGGGUGGUAAUCUAAGGAAUAGCAUAUUAUAAUGUAGUUUAUUAUUGCAUGUGUUAGUUAGUUCAUGUAGUUCACGUUUAUUUUAUUUUGCUUUGAUUAUUUCUCACGUUUUUUUUAUUUUCUCACGUUUUCUUUCUAGUUUUUUCUUUUUUUUAUUUUACAUGUUUAGUGGUAAUUGUCGUAGUUAGUAUCACGAGCAUUUGCAUGAAUUAUGAAGUUAAGCCAAGUUAAUUGCCUAUGAUGAGUUAUGUGCGUAGUUCUUGAUUAGUAGUUUCAAUUGCAAUGCUAGGUUAGUACUUGGAAAUUGCUUGUGUUGGAAAUUGUAAUUCACAUAUGUUCUUGAGAUAGGAUUUAGACGAAAUUCCAUGAAUUCUAGGAUUGAAUUGAG